CCUAAACAUCCAUGUGACUUUGUAAAAAUUUGACGUUUUGCGAAAUUCUAUCCGAAAUUUUACUUAAUUUUGUCCUAUAAUAAAAAUUGUUUUCAGAUAUUCAGCUUAUCCUAAAAUUAUAACGAAUUAUUAGUGUGCCAAUUAUUUACAUGGAGUAAAUGCGCUUUGCCUUACUAAAUGAAGCCAUCAAAUAAAAGCCAUGGCGAUAUUAUGCAAGAAGAGAGCUUACACGCGCUUAAUAACAGAUAGCGUCUUUAAAGCUACAGCAGUUUGUAAUAUAUAUUUUACAUUGUGACGUCGCAUAUGCAUUCCGUAAUCGAAUACAUACCUGUACCAUUGCCACAGUCACCCCAGUUAUUCCCUGCGAUAUAUCGCCACUGGAAGACGCAUUGGGCGCAGGUCAAAUCCUCUGCAGGUGUUGGUCCAGGCAUUCCUGGGUGACUUCUCGGUCACGAUAGGUCAUGGCGCAGGUGCGGAACUCGAAGUAACCGUGAUGGUUCGCCGUCAGCUCCACGCGGACAGGUAUGACCGAUCCGGUCCGAUAACGCCGGACAAUCACGCCGUUCCCAUACUUGCCGCCCGUCUCGUGAACACGUGGCUAAAAAAAAAAAGCAUAAAAUGGAAACUAGAAUAUUUGCUGCACGUAUUUUCUUUUCACGUUAUAUUCACUAUAUUCAUUAUAUUUAUUACAUUAUGUAUUUCUUAUGUAUUAUACUGUUAGAAUAUUUCUCUUUCGGGGCAUCAUUUAUAUGUAACCAGGAAGAGAAUAACAUGAAUAUUGAGAGAGAAAGAGGAAAACAGAUUUCACUUCUGUUUCGGGCUACUUUCGUCCGUAUCCGAUAUCAAGUGUACGUAUCAAGGCCAAGCAUCCCGCAUAAAACGUCCCGCAACGAAAUGCGAACGGCAGAUUACAGGGACACGAGACUGGCUCACGGAAGUAAUGAAAGAUGAACAACCACAUAUGGAAAUAACCGAGCGGAGGUUUGAUGACCUCUCUCAACGCGCGCCACUAUCGAGCGUUUCGCUCGAAAAGUAACGGAGGAUAACGCACACGCGAAUUACAACGACAACGAUUAGCGGCACGAAAGUCGGCGCAGCGUACCUUAGAGAUCACAAGAAUGAGAAUUAAUCAAGGUCAAAAGUGGAGUUUCCACAUUUUCCGUCCGUAAUACGAACGCCGUGGAGUAUUUUUUACGCUGGACGUAAGCAUGAACUUCAUUACUUAAUCGAUAUCGCCGUCUGCACGCCCGACCAAUACUAAAAGGAGUCACGAAACUGCAUAAAGUUGGCGUUUAAAUGUCGACAUUCGAAAGCUACGCGAAAGAGAAAGAGAGAUACAAUGACGAAGGGAACCACUGAACCGGUUAUUACACCGACACUCCACGCGCAUGAUAUCCCAGAUAUCGUGAGAUAAAUUCGUCAAGGUAAAAACCUAGAAAACGUAUAAAUAUGUUUAAUCGAGAUAAGGAUACGAAUAGUUGUAGGUUGAAAAAAAAGAAAAUUAAUUAUGAUCCUUUGCUACAUUCUCCCGCAAGGACUCUCAUCUUAGAUUUAAAUAGUUCGCUUUUAAUCAUUUAUGUAUGUUGAUAUAAUUCCUCUUUACUCCAUCACGGAAACAUUCGCGAAUAUUUCAAGAUAGAAACGUAAAUGUAUACCUAAAAAAUGUAAUAUUCAAUAUUAAAAAAGAUGUGGCGAAUGUGGGCGGCCUUCCGUGACAUCCUUGACGUGAAAAUUUUUUAUCUUGGAUUUAAAUAACGAAUCCGGUUUUAAUUCUCGUGAAAAUAUUAAUAAUAAGAUAAAGUAAAGAUAAAAUAGAAUUGAAUUUCUUGUUCAAAUUUUAAAUGUGUCUUCAAAUCUGGAAACUAGUCGCUAGUUAUAAAAUUGCUUUCCUUGCUUUCUUCAUAAAAUCAGACAUUUAUUAUUGUGUGUAAACAAUCAAGCAUUGUGAGAUAAUGAAAGUAAAUAAUAAAGCAUAUGUGAAUCUGUGAACAAAGAGAGAAGUGCAGAGAAAAUUCAGCAACUCUAUAAUUUUUAAUGAUUUAAUGCAUCUUUCACCAAUAUGUAUGUCAAUAAAAAAAUUCUAAAGUUA
Long non-coding RNA from Monomorium pharaonis (pharaoh ant), 2089 nucleotides. RefSeq lists it as uncharacterized. The record is from RefSeq and is a predicted model, not a curated record. NCBI's taxonomy places the organism in Eukaryota, Metazoa, Arthropoda, Insecta, Hymenoptera, Formicidae. The transcript is spliced from 4 exons.